GAAUAUAAAAAAGAAAAUCGAAGAAUCCGAACAAAUGCACAAAAAUAUAAAUAAAGCGAGAGAAAGAAGAAAAAGGCAAGCAAGUAUGAGGAUAAAGUAAGAAGGUCUUGUCUAUUAGCUUUGUUUCAAAGCAUGUCCACAUUCCAUGUAUUUUUGCUUAUAAAUUCGAGCAAAAAAGAUUGCUUCAAAAUUAAAUACGUGUUAAAAAAUGCUCCAAAAUAGAAACAGAGGGAAAAUGACCAAAACCUCUCUUCUUUUUUA
This 261-nucleotide long non-coding RNA is filed under the name Citrus x clementina. RNAcentral describes it as "Citrus clementina (C. clementina) long non-coding RNA (CCLE_LNC005236)". Lineage: Eukaryota; Viridiplantae; Streptophyta; Magnoliopsida; Sapindales; Rutaceae. The record is from RNAcentral.